Molecule: transfer RNA, 81 nt
Filed under: Sphagnurus paluster
Lineage: Eukaryota; Fungi; Basidiomycota; Agaricomycetes; Agaricales; Lyophyllaceae
Description: Tephrocybe palustris tRNA
Rfam family: tRNA
About the family: Transfer RNA (tRNA) molecules are approximately 80 nucleotides in length. Their secondary structure includes four short double-helical elements and three loops (D, anti-codon, and T loops). Further hydrogen bonds mediate the characteristic L-shaped molecular structure. tRNAs have two regions of fundamental functional importance: the anti-codon, which is responsible for specific mRNA codon recognition, and the 3' end, to which the tRNAs corresponding amino acid is attached (by aminoacyl-tRNA synthetases). tRNAs cope with the degeneracy of the genetic code in two manners: having more than one tRNA (with a specific anti-codon) for a particular amino acid; and 'wobble' base-pairing, i.e. permitting non-standard base-pairing at the 3rd anti-codon position.
Source: Rfam by way of RNAcentral
ACACUGAUGGUGAAGUGGUUAUCAUGCUUGCCUUCCACUUCAGUGUAGCAAGCGGCAGGGGUUCGAUUCCCCUUCAGUGUA